Molecule: small RNA, 261 nt
Filed under: Arabidopsis thaliana (thale cress)
Lineage: Eukaryota; Viridiplantae; Streptophyta; Magnoliopsida; Brassicales; Brassicaceae
Description: ATSL259470
Source: RNAcentral
CUUUUUAAGGUUUUCUAUUUUUUUAAGAAAAUUAAAAAGUUAAAUCUUUAAUGACACAUAUAAACUUCUCAUUAUUAGACUUGACACGUGCCACAAUCUUAUGAGUUAGUAACUUUAAAAACUAUACUUUAUAUAAUAAGAUACUGGAUGUGGGAAAUCGUAUCUAAGAUCGUAUCUACAACGGUUACAUUGAUAUUGGUAAAGGAAAAUCGUAUCUAAUUAAGAUUUAUCUCAUAGACAGCAAACAAAAAGGGAAUUUCA